This 524-nucleotide ribosomal RNA is filed under the name uncultured bacterium. RNAcentral's name for it is "bacterial SSU rRNA". It matches the Rfam family "Bacterial small subunit ribosomal RNA", at positions 355 to 896 of the family's 1533-position model. The record is from RNAcentral.
UGGGGAAUAUUGGACAAUGGGCGCAAGCCUGAUCCAGCAAUGCCGCGUGAGUGAUGAAGGCCUUAGGGUUGUAAAGCUCUUUCGGCGGGGACGAUGAUGACGGUACCCGCAGAAGAAGCCCCGGCUAACUUCGUGCCAGCAGCCGCGGUAAUACGAAGGGGGCUGGCGUUGUUCGGAAUUACUGGGCGUAAAGGGCGCGUAGGCGGCGUUACAAGUCAGGCGUGAAAGCCCCGGGCUCAACCUGGGAAUUGCGUUUGAUACUGUCGUGCUAGAGUUCGGGAGAGGUGAGUGGAAUUCCCAGUGUAGAGGUGAAAUUCGUAGAUAUUGGGAAGAACACCGGUGGCGAAGGCGGCUCACUGGACCGAUACUGACGCUGAGGCGCGAAAGCGUGGGGAGCAAACAGGAUUAGAUACCCUGGUAGUCCACGCCGUAAACGAUGUGUGCUAGACGCUGGGGAGCAUAGCUCUUCGGUGUCGCCGCUAACGCUUUAAGCACACCGCCUGGGGAGUACGGCCGCAAGGUUA